UUCACUAAAAUAUUUUCCCCCAUCUUCCAAUAUCUGUCAUAAUCAACACUUAGGGUAAAAUUUACCCCUUUCCCUCCAAAAAUAAGAACCCUAACAGUGCAAUUGUCUUCUUCCCUUGCAAAAUUGAAGUGAAAAAAGAGUUUUAAAUGAACAAGUGAAGUGUGACAGGUUAGGGUUUUCCUUUUAUUGUUUAAAGUUGACUUUUUUUUGUUGCAUCCCAUGAUCUGUUGCUAAAUACAGAUUUUUUUUUAUUUUUUUUGUUGCUAAAACGUGUUUUUUUGUUGUCACCUAUUGAUUUUUUGUUGUCACCUACUGAUUGCAUUGUGAUCUGUUUAGUUCGAUUUUUUUGUUAGUGUGUUUGUAAAUGUUUGUUUGUUUUGCUAUAUUUCAGGGUGUUAUAACAUGUCUUUUAUAUUAGUGACUUUGAGAUUUUACCAUGGGGGUAGAAUUGAUUUUGAUGCCCGACCAGAAUAUGUGGGUGGGUCUAUUACAGAAUUUUGGAGCAUGCACUGAUAUGAUGUCCUAUUUUGAACUAAGAGACUUGAUAAAAGAUUUAGGAUAUACAACAAAUUAUGCUUUUUAUGUUAAGGUCGAUGGUUAUUUGGUUGAAGUUGUAAGUGAUACAGUUAUUUGUAACAUUGUCUCUUUGUUAAAAAAAUGGGGAUGUGCUGGAGAUUUUUGUGUCACAUGAGGUAAAUGAACCCUCUGUUGCCUCAUUGGCUUUAAAGUUUGUCCCCCAAAGUGGUGGUGGUGGGGUCUUUGAGGAAUCUUCAAUCCCCACUUUAAAUGACCCUCCUAACCCUAUUGUUCAGCCUCCAAACCCUUUAAAUGAGCCUCCAAACCCUAGUAUUCAGCCUCCAAACCCUCUUAACCCUACUGUUGAGCCUCCAAACCCAAAUAGUGAGACAUCAAACAAUCCUAACCAUACUAUUGUGUCUCAAAAUACUUGUGAGGUUAAGUAGAUGAGGACACAGGUGUAAAUGAUGUAGAUGUUGGAUCUGAUGAUGAUAGCAUAGAGAAUUUAGGGGAUUUAUGUGACAGUGAUGUUCAUGAAGAGUGUAGAGAGUUUAGGUCAAAUAGAAGACAUUUUAAUAGGGCACAUAGGAGACCCAGAGCAACUAAUCCUAACCAAAUUCCUAUAAAACCAAAAGGGCCAGAUAUGGGAUAUGAUGAGACUAAUGUUGGGAGCAAGAAUAACUUAGAUGGUAUGCUAGGUGGUGAUGAACCUUAUUACGAUAGUGAUGAAGCUCCUAGCUUUGAAUUAGAUGAUGAAACAGGAUGGGGUGAUGAGGAAGAGGUUGAACAAGUUGUGAAGAAACCUCUAAGAAAAGUGACCAAAAAUAGAGUUGUUUUUGACAAAAGUUGUAAGAAGGCGAAUAUUAAAGCUAUGAAGAUGCUUGGAGAGGAUGGUUUGCAUGCCCUCAUGUACCUAUCUGAGCACAUAUGCUCAUUUUAUUCAGCCAAUGAACAAUAUGAAGAUGUGGCCAACUUCUAAUAAUCCAAGAGUAGAGCCACCAGUAAUCAGACAGCUUCCUGGAAGGCCACCAAAUCAAAAAGGAAGGAGGUCUAUGAAUGUAGAAAAAUAGGACUGAUCAGCAGGAGGGGUGCUGUUAUGACUUGUAGCACUUGUCAUGCAAAGGGACACAAUAAAAGAGGAUGUCCAACAGUUCCAAGGCAAAUCACAGAAACAGCAGAUCAAACAGUAGAGCAAGCACAGACUAGAACAAACAGAGGAAGGGCAAACAAAAGGAGGAUAGAACAGGAAGCUGCAAGUUGUGGAAGGGUCAAUGCAAGUUCAAAUGCUAGUGGUGGUGCAACCUAUCAAAGUCAAGAAACUUAAGGAACAACUAGUGGACAUGCUGCACAACCUUAUAAAAGGCCAAGAAUUGUGGGGGUUGGAAGAUUGAUGGCAGAUGAUGGAUUUACUACACUCAAUCCUGGAAUGCCAAGUAGAAGAGCUCCAAUGAGGUCUGAUGUUGUUACUGGAGAUAUUGACUACACACCCAAACCAGAACUUCAAGUGGAGGGGCAAACAAUCCAUGACAAGUAAUAUACUUGACAAAAUUAGGGGUGAAAGAAUCAUCAAAGGAAGGUCAAAAGUUGCCGCCAUGAAUCAAAGCCAAUGUAGUACAUCUAAAAAACCAUGGAAAUAGUUGGUUUAGUUGUUUUGCUACUGUUUUUGUUGGGUUGCUAUUAGUAAAAAACCAUGGAAAUAGUUGGUUUAGUUAUUCAUAUUUUUGGCUAUGUAUUAAGUGGCAAAACCUAACCUUGUAGCAUUUUAUGCAACAGUUUUUUGGCUAUUGUGCUAUUUUUGUACAGUUAUUGUGUUGUUUUUGUGCAACAAUUAAUGCAGGUAAUGAUAUUCAGCUUAUUUGUGUUGUUUCAUGCA
This is a long non-coding RNA of Lycium barbarum (goji berry), 2389 nucleotides long. RefSeq lists it as uncharacterized. The transcript is spliced from 3 exons. NCBI's taxonomy places the organism in Eukaryota, Viridiplantae, Streptophyta, Magnoliopsida, Solanales, Solanaceae. The record is from RefSeq and is a predicted model, not a curated record.